RNAcentral lists this ribosomal RNA (490 nucleotides) under uncultured bacterium. Its description in RNAcentral is "partial 16S ribosomal RNA". It matches the Rfam family "Bacterial small subunit ribosomal RNA", at positions 30 to 507 of the family's 1533-position model. The record is from RNAcentral.
AUUGAACGCUGGCGGCAGGCCUAACACAUGCAAGUCGAACGGUAACAGGAAGCAGCUUGCUGCUUCGCUGACGAGUGGCGGACGGGUGAGUAAUGUCUGGGAAACUGCCUGAUGGAGGGGGAUAACUACUGGAAACGGUAGCUAAUGCAGCAUAACGUCGCAAGACCAAAGAGCGGGACCUUAGGGCCUCUUGCCAUCGGGUGUGCCCAGAUGGGAUUAGCUAGUAGGUGGGGUAACGGCUCACCUAGGCGACGAUCCCUAGCUGGUCUGAGAGGAUGACCAGCCACACUGGAACUGAGACACGGUCCAGACUCCUACGGGAGGCAGCAGUGGGGAAUAUUGCACAAUGGGCGCAAGCCUGAUGCAGCCAUGCCGCGUGUAUGAAGAAGGCCUUCGGGUUGUAAAGUACUUUCAGCGGGGAGGAAGGGAGUCAAGUUAAUACCUCUGCUCAUUGACGUUACCCGAAGAAGAAGCACCGGCUAACUCCGUG